RNAcentral lists this long non-coding RNA (327 nucleotides) under Mus spicilegus (steppe mouse). RNAcentral describes it as "lncRNA (ENSMSIG00000009973.1)". The record is from RNAcentral. Lineage: Eukaryota; Metazoa; Chordata; Mammalia; Rodentia; Muridae.
AGCUGAGGCAAGCAAUGGUGUCUGUCUGUCUGUCCCUCUACCCAGGGUUUAGCAGCUAAUACUCUGGAUAGAAGGAUCCAUAGAUAGACUCUGCUUCUUCCCACUGGGCUACUCCCAUGGAUUUUACCAAUGUUUUCCUGCAUAUGGAGCAAGGCCUUGGAGACGAGGUGACAGAAUGGUAACCUUGGUAUUCACAUCAGAAUGCGCAGCAGCGAUCCAGGAAUAUCUUGCUAGGAUGUAACAAAGCUAAAAAUCCCGCCAGAACCAAACACUGGCCACAGCUUAGCCUGCGUCCAGGUGGGAGACACAAUGACUUGAAACUGGCUU